UGAGGCUCUGAACUCCUCACCCUCCAGAAUUAGAUUUCCCUCUUAAGGAAAGAAAAAAGAAAAAGAAAAAAAAGAAGCUGCGGGCACUUUUGUUGCACAAGUGUCACCUUUUGAUGGAGUCGGUAACGCGGAGCAAUAAUCAGCUGACAGGGGGGGAUAAGCCUCGGCUGCUGUGUGUAGAGGCGAAUACGCAAGUCUGCAGCCUCAAUACACAUCCACACAAUCAACAUGUGAACACAGGAUGACCUGAAGAGAGGAGGCUUCAGCUGGGGAAAUGUUCAUUUGGCUGAAACGGCGCACAGGACUGCAGACCUUCUUUUCCCCCUCAGCCUCUCCUCUCCUCUUCUCUCCAGUCUGCACAAGGGCCAGUCGCUGCUCGUCUCCAUCCUGCCAGCAGCAGCUUGUGGUUACCAGUUUGUAACUCACAACAACCAACUCAUCUAUCAACUUACAAGCUCUGCCUGUUCAGUCACUGCAAGUCACCCUGGUGUUGGCUGAAGUGUCAAAUGUUUACACCUUGUAAAAAUGUUUCUUUGGAUUGCUCUCUUAUUAAAGCCAGAUGUUGCUCACUCGUCCCGUUUUCCCUGGUGCAAAUGUAAAGUGAGGUUGAGUUUCUCCCAUUCACUUUGCUGUCUGUGCAAAAAUCCCAGUGUUCAACAGUAAUGCAUGGAUUUAUUUUUAUGUUGAUGAGCAGCUGUUUUCAAACAAGCAACAAUUACACACAGAGGUAAAUUACACAAACAUGCCCAUGUCCACGUUGUUUAAAUUAAUGACCUAAAUAUUGAUUUCUCCUUGUGUUACUGUUGAUUUAAUCCGUGCGCGUUUUCCAUUUGUGUGCGACGUGUUAUUGUUUUAUGGCAACCACUGUUAUUGUCAAGUUAGAACUGAAUUAUUUUCACAUUUUUCCGUUAUGUUUUAGAUACACUGAAAUGAGUGCCAUUAAUUAUUCUUUUCAUUUAAUUAGGUUGUAUUUAAAGAAGCAAAUCUAUAAAAAUACCAAAACAAUUAGUUCAUAACUAUCAUUCUUUUGUAGUGUCAGCACUAGGAUGCAGGAUGUUGAUGCAAUCAGGGAAACAAUUUGACAUUUUGGAAAAUGCACUUGAGUUAGAUGAGAGGCUUGAUACCACUUCUCUUGUCAGCUUAGCUUAGCACAAAGACUGGACACAAUCACUACACUUGUAGUGAUUGGUUGCAAACAAAACCAUACAAAUAUAUAUUUUUUCUAUAUCUAGCUAUAAAAAGUAAAAAAAAAUGCUGGUAUUGUUUGGCUGGGGAGUUUCCCAUACUACUUGGCACUUGGUUAUUCAGGUCAAUAAUCAUCAAACGAUACCUGUAUAUGAUUGUUUUUAAUAUUACUCGUACAGACCCGAGAGCAUUUAUUUUCUCAUCUAACUUUUGUCAAGAAAGAGAAUGGCCGUUUUCCAAAAUGUUGAACCACUCCUUUAAAUAAUACCUGGUUUAUAGUCUAAAUACAAUACAUAAUCCACGCACCAUCACCAUCUUUUAGUUUCUGAUCCCGAGGAGGGAUCAUCCCGGCACUGAUGACUCACACAAGACAAACAUUUCCAGGAUUGUUUUUCCUGUCUUACUUCUUACUGUGUAUACUUGAAUAUGUGUACAAUGAGAUGACAAAUAACCUCCAUAAAUGAACAAAACAAACUGUGAAAAUAAGCAAAAAGCAAAAACACUCCAACUGGUGUACCUUGUGGCUCCACUCAGCCAGCUCUCUCCCAGCGUACAGUGUUUCAAACCCAGCGAGAACAGUCGGUGGUGACUUAUUGGAUCCCACCCAGCAGUGACUUAUACGCUCAACCUAUAUGUCACAGAUGGUAGGAUUUCAGUGUAGUUGAUAUAGAAAAUCCACCGAAGAGCAUUGAUCUUCCUGCGAUCUGCUCUCUCUGCCUGAUCGCCACAGGAUCCGAACAUCUGCAGAGACCUGUAGGGGAGCGGAGCCACGGGGAACCUCAGUCUACCUUUAACGGUUAAUAGUUGAUGUAAUACUAAGUAACAUUUCCAAGCCAGCUGAUUACAUUUUUACAGUUGUUGCUCUAAACAUUCUGUGUCUAAAACAACUAUUGAGAAAUCUUUAAAGCAGAAGAAAAGCGGGGCAGUUAGUAUGACUGGCACUACCCAGCGUGUUUGCACAGAAUAAAGACAAGAAUGCCACCUGCAGUAACUGUAACAACGGAAAAGCCGAGGGAACUCUGGAUAGACAGAGUUCAAUACAACAACUGUAAUAACCAAAGGCGUUGCCAAAAUGAAAAGCAAGAACCUUGCAGAUAACCUCCUUAAGGAUAAAGUUACACACGGCCUAGAGUCAGAUUUCACUAUGUGAAGUGCCUUCAGAUUCUUUCAACAGCAAACGCAACUACACAUCAACUGAUAACGCCACAACCUCAGUGCCUGCGUGCUAUUUUUAAGUACCUGCAGUGAAAAGCUCACGUCACACGCCAUCACUGCUUAUGCUACUCAUGAUAAAUGGUAACUUUAAUUUGAUAAAUAAAAUAAAAAAGUCUUUCAUCAUCAUAAGUCUGCUCAGGAACAAGAUUCAGACCAGGCAGGGAUAGCCGUACUCAAGAUAAGUAAAUUCUCUGUGCAGUUAUCGACUGAUCUUGUUCCUGUUCAAGCAAUGUCCAGUCCACUGUUGUAUCUGUGUGUGGCUAUACCCUGAUGAUAAUGAUUAGCACGUGAAUAAAGAACGUCAUUUAUGUGUUAACCAUUGUUCUGCUGUCUCGAUAUCUCAAAAACAUCUCAACCGACAGACAAACGACUGACUUUGUCCGUGAUCCACAUCUCAAAUUUACAAUGCUGGAGAAUCUAUUUGUAUAUCAUAUUUUAAGAUAAAGCCAUUAACGUGCAUAGAGAUGAAUUAAAGUAGAAGAAAAUAGGGAAGCCAUUUAUCUGUUCAGCUUCGGGUGCAGGUUUGCAAUCUCCAAGUGUCGUCUAGUUAAAAUACUGCGCUGCAGUAACAGUUAAAAGACGACCUUCUUGGUCAUCGUUUUCCUUUGAUUUGCUGGACUGCUGGCCAGCGAUCUUCUGUUAAAUUGCACUAGCAGCCUGCCAGAACAAGUGCAUAAAGCCUGCUAGCCCCUUCUUUGUGUGUGUGUGUGUGUGUAUCUCUCUCAGACAGUUUUAAUCUCUAGCAAGACAGUCACGUCCAGAAUUGUCGUCUGCCGUGUAAACUCUGGUGGAAAAGCGACUCGCCGCCUGUGCCUCCAGUCUCCACAGCUCUCCUUCAUUACUGCGCACAGUGGAAGAUCCAGAGCUCCCGGGGUGGUAAUCCCUGCUGGAAGGCGUCACCAUAUACUGUCAUUAAUGAAACGGAAGACACACACAUAUGACCUACACACACACACAUUUACCCACAGCCAGGAUUGGAUGAAAGAUGAAUGGUUGCAGCAGCAGCACCUUGUAGACUACAGCUGAAGGUUUAGAUCUCUCAGCAGGAGAUGGUACGGUGGCUCAGAUGUAUCCCUUGUAGUCACUUAUAGGCAUGAACCAUCUUAUUUGCUGCAUGUUGUCAUUUAUAUACUGUUGUGAGGUGUAAUGCUGUUUGCUGAGUUCUGUGUUUUAUAUCUAGUUAUGUAUGCGUUUGUAUUUCUUCCUCCUACAGAAAGGGAUUUCAAGCAUAACUCACAGGAAAGACAAAGAUGAUCAUGAGCAGUAAUAUGUUUUGUUUUUUUCUGCUUCUCGUGAAUGGUCUAAUGCUGUUAUUACUGUUAUGUUUGUACAUUUUAAAUCACAUUAUGUAACUUUUAUUACCAUAAAAUAACAGAUUUGAAAUCAUUUUGCAAUCAGGUGAAUGUUGUCUCUGCACUCUUGUUCUCGCACUAUGUAACCUUGUGGUCCAGGCACGAUCACCCACAAGAAGUAUGUAACACCUUACCACAACACUUUACCACCAACUAUUUCACUGAUUUCUGUAAAACUGAAUCAUAU
This is a long non-coding RNA of Larimichthys crocea (large yellow croaker), 3939 nucleotides long. RefSeq lists it as uncharacterized. The record is from RefSeq and is a predicted model, not a curated record. NCBI's taxonomy places the organism in Eukaryota, Metazoa, Chordata, Actinopteri, Sciaenidae. The transcript has 2 exons.